UACGAAGGGUGCAAGCGUUAAUCGGAAUUACUGGGCGUAAAGGGUGCGUAGGCGGUUGUUUAAGUCUGUCGUGAAAUCCCCGGGCUCGACCUGGGAAUGGCGAUGGAUACUGGACAGCUAGAGUGUGUCAGAGGAUGGUGGAAUUCCCGGUGUAGCGGUGAAAUGCGUAGAGAUCGGGAGGAACAUCAGUGGCGAAGGCGGCCAUCUGGGACAACACUGACGCUGAAGCACGAAAGCGUGGGGAGCAAACAGG
RNAcentral lists this ribosomal RNA (253 nucleotides) under uncultured bacterium. RNAcentral describes it as "partial 16S ribosomal RNA". It matches the Rfam family "Bacterial small subunit ribosomal RNA", at positions 524 to 776 of the family's 1533-position model. The record is from RNAcentral.